CAGUCGCCACGGUAAUACGAAGGGGGCUAGCGUUGUUCGGAUUCACUGGGCGUAAAGCGCACGUAGGCGGAUCGAUCAGUCAGGGGUGAAAUCCCAGAGCUCAACUCUGGAACUGCCUUUGAUACUGUCGAUCUGGAGUAUGGAAGAGGUGAGUGGAAUUCCGAGUGUAGAGGUGAAAUUCGUAGAUAUUCGGAGGAACACCAGUGGCGAAGGCGGCUCACUGGUCCAUUACUGACGCUGAGGUGCGAAAGCGUGGGGAGCAAACAGGAUUAGAUACCCCCGUAGUCCCUGUUUCUUAUAC
RNAcentral lists this ribosomal RNA (301 nucleotides) under uncultured bacterium. Its description in RNAcentral is "partial 16S ribosomal RNA". It matches the Rfam family "Bacterial small subunit ribosomal RNA", at positions 509 to 807 of the family's 1533-position model. The record is from RNAcentral.